Molecule: ribosomal RNA, 440 nt
Filed under: uncultured bacterium
Lineage: Bacteria
Description: partial 16S ribosomal RNA
Rfam family: Bacterial small subunit ribosomal RNA
Source: RNAcentral
CCUACGGGAGGCUGCAGUGGGGAAUAUUGCACAAUGGGGGAAACCCUGAUGCAGCGACGCCGCGUGAGUGAAGAAGUAUUUCGGUACGUAAAGCUCUAUCAGCAGGGAAGAAAAUGACGGUACCUGACUAAGAAUCCCCGGCUAACUACGUUCCAGCCGCCGCGGUAAUACGUAGGGGGCAAGCGUUAUCCGGAUUUACUGGGUGUAAAGGGAGCGUAGACGGCAGCGCAAGUCUGGAGUGAAAUCCCAUGGCUUAACCAUGGAACUGCUUUGGAAACUGUGCAGCUAGAGUGCAGGAGAGGUAAGCGGAAUUCCUAGUGUAGCGGUGAAAUGCGUAGAUAUUAGGAGGAACACCAGUGGCGAAGGCGGCUUACUGGACUGUAACUGACGUUGAGGCUCGAAAGCGUGGGGAGCAAACAGGAUUAGAUACCCCUGUAGUC